This 240-nucleotide long non-coding RNA is filed under the name Ricinus communis (castor bean). RNAcentral describes it as "long non-coding RNA (RCOM_LNC000807)". The record is from RNAcentral. Lineage: Eukaryota; Viridiplantae; Streptophyta; Magnoliopsida; Malpighiales; Euphorbiaceae.
GAGGGUUGCUUCCGGGGUUUUUGGGGAUGGGGAGUCCGAUUCCGGCGUCAGUUUGCGGAACCGACGAUGGCAGCCUUCCCCUAGCCUUUGGUCGACGUCGGCGGCGGCGGGAAGGAGCGGGGAGGACGGCUGCGACAACUGGCGGCGCGCAGGAGACGGGGAACGGGGGAACGGUGGGCUGCCGGAGGGAGAAGGAAGGAAAAGGAGAAGGAGAGGGGGAAGGGGAGGGAGGAAGGAAAU